CUCAUUCUUGACUUGGAUUGUAGCGUCUGUUUUCUGCCUCAUGCGAAAAGCUGGAAAAGAGUAUCUCUGUUUCUUACUUCAGUUAAUGGAUAUUUUUACUCAACAAGAAACAUCCAACGCCGAUUGUGUUAUUGUAGUUGAGUCACGAGCAAGUCAACCAAUGCGUUCUACAAUUUUAACGCUAGAAUGCUGACAGAUAUUUAUAAAUUCUGAGUUGUUUGCUUUGACGUAUUACAACUUACAUUUACGACAUAAUACGACGAAAGAUACCGAUACUGACGCAUCGUUUGGAUCUUCAAAGAGUCAUCAGUGUUGACAAUAAUGUUGGCAAGUGUUUCGUCAAGACAUAAACGAAGACGCAUUCAGAAAAAAUUAGUUACCGAUAGUGCGUUUUAUGAGGAAGAUGCCGAAAAACAUUCAUCUGCUACUGAAAGUGUCACAGGUGCGAGUGAAUGAAACAGUGGUCAAAGUGAUUCAUUCCCUAACAAUCUAUUUCAAGAUGAUUUCAUUGCAGAAGUUGUCGAAGUAGUAAUGCACUGAUUAAAUUAUCUAUUUUGAGUUUCAUAUUGUACCUGAUAAGUUAAACUUUUUUGAGUUUCAUAUUGUACCUAAAGAAAUAAAAUAAA
This 626-nucleotide long non-coding RNA is filed under the name Daphnia magna. RNAcentral's name for it is "uncharacterized LOC116925957". The record is from RNAcentral. Lineage: Eukaryota; Metazoa; Arthropoda; Branchiopoda; Diplostraca; Daphniidae.